AAUUUCUCACUGAAAUAACAAGUUACAAAUAUGAGAAAUAUCAGUUUUAUGUAUUUCAGAGAAGUAAUUUCAUAUAUUUCAGAGAAAUUAGUUUCACAACUUGCAACAAUACAUUGAAAUAUUAGUUUCACAUUUUUUGCACAGCUCAACUACACACAGCUAUUUCAAUUCAUAUCUCACUGAAAAUCAUUCCAACCAUUUUCAGAAAUAUAUAACACUUCCACAGACUGAAAUUGUCAGUUUCACCAUAUUGAAAUAUAAAUUCACAUAUAUUCCACAAAUCAUUUCACAUAAAUUUGUUUCACAACUUGCAACACCACAUUCAAAUAUAUUACAGGGAAGUAAUUACAUAUUUUCAGAGAAGUAAUUUCAUAGAUCUCAGUCUCUUUCAAAAAACUAUACCCCAUGCUCUCUGUCACAAACAAAGAAUGUUCAAAUCGAGUUGCAAAUAUCUGAAAAUGAAGUAGCAGGGGAGGCCGACGAUCUGGUAAAGAAACAAAGAAUGUUCAACAAAUAUCUGAAACUGAAGUAGCAGGAGAGGCCGACGAUCUGGUAAAGAAACAAAGAAUGUUCAAAUCAUGCUAAUUAAAUCUGAAACCAUGAAGUGCAUAUGGAGAGAGGUUAGGAUAGAUGGGAUUCUUGACUCACAAAAUCCGGUGGCGGUCAGG
RNAcentral lists this long non-coding RNA (668 nucleotides) under Triticum aestivum (bread wheat). RNAcentral describes it as "long non-coding RNA (TAES_LNC018725)". The record is from RNAcentral. Lineage: Eukaryota; Viridiplantae; Streptophyta; Magnoliopsida; Poales; Poaceae.